Molecule: transfer RNA, 84 nt
Filed under: Felis catus (domestic cat)
Lineage: Eukaryota; Metazoa; Chordata; Mammalia; Carnivora; Felidae
Rfam family: tRNA
About the family: Transfer RNA (tRNA) molecules are approximately 80 nucleotides in length. Their secondary structure includes four short double-helical elements and three loops (D, anti-codon, and T loops). Further hydrogen bonds mediate the characteristic L-shaped molecular structure. tRNAs have two regions of fundamental functional importance: the anti-codon, which is responsible for specific mRNA codon recognition, and the 3' end, to which the tRNAs corresponding amino acid is attached (by aminoacyl-tRNA synthetases). tRNAs cope with the degeneracy of the genetic code in two manners: having more than one tRNA (with a specific anti-codon) for a particular amino acid; and 'wobble' base-pairing, i.e. permitting non-standard base-pairing at the 3rd anti-codon position.
Source: Rfam by way of RNAcentral
ACCUAGGUGGCUCAGUCAGUUGAGCAUCUGACUUCGACUCAGGUCAUGAUCACACAUUUGUGGGUUUGAGCCCCGUGUCAGGUU